CUUAGGCGUGUGACUGCGUACCUUUUGUAUAAUGGGUCAGCGACUUAUAUUCUGUAGCAAGGUUAACCGAAUAGGGGAGCCGAAGGGAAACCGAGUCUUAACUGGGCGUUAAGUUGCAGGGUAUAGACCCGAAACCCGGUGAUCUAGCCAUGGGCAGGUUGAAGGUUGGGUAACACUAACUGGAGGACCGAACCGACUAAUGUUGAAAAAUUAGCGGAUGACUUGUGGCUGGGGGUGAAAGGCCAAUCAAACCGGGAGAUAGCUGGUUCUCCCCGAAAGCUAUUUAGGUAGCGCCUCGUGAAUUCAUCUCCGGGGGUAGAGCACUGUUUCGGCAAGGGGGUCAUCCCGACUUACCAACCCGAUGCAAACUGCGAAUACCGGAGAAUGUUAUCACGGGAGACACACGGCGGGUGCUAACGUCCGUCGUGAAGAGGGAAACAACCCAGACCGCCAGCUAAGGUCCCAAAGUCAUGGUUAAGUGGGAAACGAUGUGGGAAGGCCCAGACAGCCAGGAUGUUGGCUUAGAAGCAGCCAUCAUUUAAAGAAAGC
Molecule: ribosomal RNA, 549 nt
Filed under: Escherichia coli
Lineage: Bacteria; Pseudomonadati; Pseudomonadota; Gammaproteobacteria; Enterobacterales; Enterobacteriaceae
Description: partial 23S ribosomal RNA
Rfam family: Bacterial large subunit ribosomal RNA
Source: RNAcentral